UGAAGUUACAAUAUUAUUCUACUCAUAUUGUAUAAAGAGUCAAGUACUUCUCUAUUUUUGAAUUAUGCUUUGUAUGUUGUAAGUUCUGAAGACGCUAUGAGUCUAGAACACUCGAUCGCUAUGAGAUCAAUGAUGCAGUCUUAAGCUCGCCAUGAGAGCUUAGAUUGUUUUCAUACUACAAAGCUGAGAGAUAUUGUAUUGCUUUACUAUUCGAAUAUAAGAGUUUACAGAGUUACAUUGAUCAAGGAUCUAUCAUUGGUGUGGUGAAAAGUUCGAACACGACGAGUGCGAUGGCGACGAGCGGUUCUCCGGUUCAAUCGGUGUAUGAAGAAGAUCUGGAGGUGGUGGAUUCGAAGACGAGAGGUCGCGUUGAGUUUCUCAUGGGAGCGUUCGAGCGAUUGAAUAAGGAACAUGCGGUGACGAAUUCUUCCGUGGCGACGAUGGAAGGG
RNAcentral lists this long non-coding RNA (449 nucleotides) under Brassica napus (rape). Its description in RNAcentral is "long non-coding RNA (BNAP_LNC017189)". Lineage: Eukaryota; Viridiplantae; Streptophyta; Magnoliopsida; Brassicales; Brassicaceae. The record is from RNAcentral.